Molecule: long non-coding RNA, 3933 nt
Organism: Acinonyx jubatus (cheetah)
Lineage: Eukaryota; Metazoa; Chordata; Mammalia; Carnivora; Felidae
Exons: 3
Source: RefSeq, a predicted model, not a curated record
UCCUGUGGAAGUCAAGCUAUGAAGCACUUUGUAGUCCUCAAACUAAGCAGGCGGAGGAGAGACUUCUGGUGUUUGUCUGGAGGGCUGUUGGCCCAGUUGGGCGGGGUUUAGUGUAAUGGCUCUGUUCUCCACUAGAUGGCGCCGCUUAGCGUACUGGGGUAGAUUGUUGCAGCGCGUGUAGGCGUGUCUGCGCAUGCGCGGGAGGGGUGAAAAUGGCGUCUCCCAGAUACCCGAUCUCCAGUAUUGGAACUCUGUGCUCUCCCUGACCGGCAAUCAAAUACCCCUCCUUUUUUGCUGGUUUCCAUCUACUCCCCGCUUUGACACUGUCCGUGACCAGGCCGUCAGGCUGCUAGGCAGCGCCUGUCUCCUGAGUUUCAUCUCAGAUGCGGCUGUGUUUCCCGACCCCUCACUUCUGAGGGACUGUGGCUUUGACCCGCUCAGAUCCUCUGGGAAAGGGUCUCACUGAGCAAUGGCCGGUGCUGGCGGCACCCAGGAACGUUCGCUGGACUGUGCUGCUGCCGGUGCUCUGAGACUGCGGCCGGGUGCCAGCCGGCCCCAGAAAAAGUUUGCGAGAUAGUGUAGCAGCAGCGUUUCAGGGAUUAUGGAAAAUCACAGCACACAUCUGGCGCCAGGCUUCACCCUUAACGUCCUUGUUCCAGCACCAGUGAAUGUCCUCGUUCUCCGCGGUCCACUGGGAGACGUCGUCCAGCAGGGGAACCACCACAUCCUGUGUGGCCUGCGGACCCCUUGGACCAUGCUCUCUGCUCCUGGAGAUUCACCCUUCUCACCAGAGCAAUGCCAGAUGGCAGUUCCAGUUGCUUACAUUGCAGCACUCUGUUUAAGAGUCUAGACUUCUAAAGUUUAUACAACCAAUUAAGAGAGAGACACAGCAUGAGUGGGGAAGGGGCAGAGAGAGAGGGAGACAUAGAAUCUGAAACAGGCUCCAAGCUGUCAGCACAGAGCCCGACGCAGGGCUUGAACUCACCGACAGUGAGAUCAUGAUGUGAGCAGAAGUCAGACGCUCAACUGACUAAGCCACCCAGGCACCCCUAUGUAAAGAAAUUUUUAAAAAUUAAGCCAUUUGCCACAUAUUUUUUUACAAGUAAUUUUGCAAAUUUUACUCAUGGUGUUGGCAACAGGACAGUUGCAUGGUGUUCCUAACUUUGAAAAUCUGUAUGUAGCUCCCAGUACCUUGUGUACUCCUCUCCUCACAGAUAGUAAUACUGAAAAAUGUUAUAUAUUUAGAUGUUUAGUUAUGUAUUCACUUGUUAAUUUUCCUGUAAAACACCUUUUAAUCUGUUACUGUUUCACAACCUUCUGAGCUAAAGUUCUUUUCAUAUAUACCUAAUGAUUCUUUUUUGUAACAUGCCUCAAAAAUUCCCUGCCCUAACUUUGAGGUGAAAUUUUGCCUAAAAAGUCCAAUUAGCAUUUGCUGAACUUUGUGCCAGAUCUUAGGAUAAGUAUAUUCAUAUCAAAAAUACUCUUAUUCACUUCUAUAAUAGCCUAGUUCAAAUUAUGCACCGUGUGAAAUGAGGAAGUACAUGCUCAAAUAAUUUGCCAGAAAAGCAUAGCUAAUAACUGGUAGAAAUAAAAUGUGGUGUUAUGAUUUCAUCAUUGUUUUCUAUGACAAUGCCAUGAUCCUUCUAAUUCAAUGCAGGAAUAGGAAGAAAUGUUUUUCUUUACUCCCUCAUGCCCAGGAGAGUACCAGCUCCUUAAUAAGAAAGUCAAACUAUUAUCUGCACAAAAGGAAAUUGUGCAUUAUUUUACUAGUAGAAUUGUAGGAAUUACCACACUGGUUCACACUUGUGGUCAGUAAUGUUUAACAUUCUGUCUCUAGCAGUGACAAUGAGGCACAUGUUAUUAAAGAGUAUUUAUAUCUUUCUUGAUAUCAACUUCACAAUUUUAUGUUAGCUCCAAAAUAUUGUAGAUGUGCCGAAUAUAUCUUUAAAUAUCCAUAAUUUAUAAAUUCAUCUAUAUUAAUACUGAAUACAAUUUUAACUUCCUAAGCUAUUCACUAUAUUUCACUUAUGUGGUAUUUUUUACAUACAGCUUUGUACUACAAUUUCCAUUUAUGUAGUCCUAUUAAUUUAACUGUUACUUCCUACAUGGCAACAUCUAGGUCUUACCCUGUUUUGUUUUCUUCAGAAGGCUUAAGAAACAUAGCUUAAAUUUAUGUUAUUUUAUAAAUAUACUUGAUUCAACUCUAGAAUAAUGUAUAGUUUUAAAAUAUUCCAUUAAAUCAUUGUGUUACCUAGUACUGAUAAAAUUAGUAAGACAAAACUAAUUUUAUUUUAAUACUAAGAGAAUUUGGUCAGAAAGAGUUUUUUUUUUUUUAAGUUAAUUUUAUUUGUUUUGAGAAAGAUAGAGAAAGAGCAUAAGAGGGGUAAGGGCAGAGAAAGAAGGAGAGAAAGAAUCCCUACCAGGCUCUGCCCUGUCAGCACAGAGCCCAUUGCGGGGCUCUAUCUCAAGAAAUGUGAGAUCAAGAAAUGACCUAAGAGGAAAUCAAGAGUUGGACACUUAAGUGAGCCACUCAGGUGCACCAGGAAGGAGUUCUUGAUUUCUGAGAAGUAUUACUAUAAAAAAAUAAAUAAAUAGAAAAUGAGAUAUUCAACAUACUCUGACCAACAAUUAUUUUAGGAAAAGUUUUAAAAAUGAAAAAGAAAUUGAAGAAAUGGGCAUGAAAAAAACCAGAAUGGAUUAAAGUGAUUUAUUUUAAGAAGUAAGGAGGGUUAUAAAAGAAAAGAUCAAAUCUAGUUUGCCAAGAAAUUAUCCAGAAAGGGAAGUCGUUUAAGAUUGGGUGGUUUAAGUUAGAAAUGUUUAAACAUAAAAUUAUGUGCAGGCCACCUGAGCAGAAAUGGCCACCAAAGUGUGAAAUGAUGACAGAAUAAACAUUAAAAAAAAAAUCUUUGGUAAUGGAAAUUUUUUUAUCAUCUAGAUAGUUUCCAGAAAAUUUUAUAUAAAGCAAAUCUAAAAAGUAUGAGGUGUUUUUAAGAGUGUGUGGACAAUUUCCACUUCACUGAAUACACUGAAUACACCAAAUGAAAGGGAAAAAGAAUAAUCAUAAAAUUAGUACUAAGUAAUAUGGUGGAUGUAACUGAAGUCAUAAAAACAUUAGAAACAGUGGUCAUAAUGCUACAGCCAAAGGUGGGAGACAAAACAGGAUACACGCUGUAAUGUAGAAAGCUCUCUCUAUACAUUGCCAAGACAAAAGUCUAGUCCCACAACCAUCUUAAAAACAUACUAAACUGUGUGUAUGUAGGGGGGUGGAAUUCUCUAUGCUUACUGCCAUGUGCACAAAGUAACUAGUUUGCCACCUGAAUAUUUUAUGAUCUACCGCAAAUUAAGGGUAAACAAUAAAGAAUUUUUCUAUUAAAAAAAAAAACUCAUGAAGGCCCUUCCUAAUUCUUAGAGAUUCUGUGGUACGGGGUGGUGAAAUCUGAAACAAAUUAUUAUGAGGAUCUCUGAUAUAUCCAAAUGCACUUAUUAAGUAUUGUUAAAGGUACGUUAAUCCCAUGCAAAUUUGGGGUAAUGGUAGGGAGAUCAGCAAGUGUUAUCACAAGGUUUUGAGUGUGUGAAUGUCUGUAAGACCAACAUAACUUUAAUUCUCUAAAAAAUAUAUUUAAUUUCUCUUGUGGUGCUCAUGUGCUGGAAUAUUGAUGCUAACCAUAGUAAUUUAUAGCCUAAAUCAUUGAAAAGUGGUUCUGAUAUAAAAAUUGCCUUCUCCUUUUUGGUACUUCAGCAUUCCCUUUGUUCUACUUACAAGAUUACUACCUAUCCACCAAAAGGUAACACCAAAGCUUUCUAUCAAACACUUCUACUUGAUUAAGGAAACUUUUAUUAGUAUUGAUGUCAACUUCCCAAUUACCACAUUUCAGCCUUCCUCAAAAUCUAGGACCUGAACUUUCAAAAGAUAUUUUUACAUUUAAUUGUUUU